UAGGUGUGGUCCAUGGGAAACUUACAAAG
Molecule: non-coding RNA, 29 nt
Filed under: Mus musculus (house mouse)
Lineage: Eukaryota; Metazoa; Chordata; Mammalia; Rodentia; Muridae
Source: RNAcentral